GAAGUUGUUUGGUCUCAUGAACAAGGAAGUUCAGGGCUGGCUGUUGCAGUUUCUAGAUGCCUGUACUCUACACUGAAUGGGUAUUCUUAUGGCUUAGAAAUGGGAAGCAAUGAACUGGCCAGGUCCUCAUUUGAUGGCGAGCUACCCACUAGGCCUUUA
This is a long non-coding RNA of Fundulus heteroclitus (mummichog), 159 nucleotides long. RefSeq lists it as uncharacterized. The transcript has 3 exons. The record is from RefSeq and is a predicted model, not a curated record. Lineage: Eukaryota; Metazoa; Chordata; Actinopteri; Cyprinodontiformes; Fundulidae.